Molecule: unclassified non-coding RNA, 344 nt
Filed under: soil metagenome
Description: partial contains 5.8S ribosomal RNA, internal transcribed spacer 2, and large subunit ribosomal RNA
Rfam family: 5.8S ribosomal RNA (bases 1-120)
Source: RNAcentral
GAUGAAGAACGUAGCGAAAUGCGAUAAGUAAUGUGAAUUGCAGAAUUCAGUGAAUCAUCGAAUCUUUGAACGCACAUUGCGCCCGCCAGUAUUCUGGCGGGCAUGCCUGUUCGAGCGUCAUUUCAACCCUCAAGCCCCCGGGCUUGGUGUUGGGGAUCGGCGUGCCCUCGCGGCGCGCCGUCCCCUAAAUCUAGUGGCGGUCUCGCUGUAGCUUCCUCUGCGUAGUAGCAACACUCGCACUGGAUCGCAGCGCGGCCACGCCGUUAAACCCCCCACUUCUGAAAGUUUGACCUAGGAUCAGGUAGGAAUACCCGCUGAACUUAAGCAUAUCAAUAAGCGGAGGA